UACGUAGGUGGCAAGCGUUGUCCGGAAUUAUUGGGCGUAAAGCGCGCGCAGGCGGCUUCUUAAGUCUGAUGUGAAAGCCCACGGCUCAACCGUGGAGGGUCAUUGGAAACUGGGGAGCUUGAGUACAGAAGAGGAGAGUGGAAUUCCAUGUGUAGCGGUGAAAUGCGUAGAUAUAUGGAGGAACACCAGUGGCGAAGGCGGCUCUCUGGUCUGUAACUGACGCUGAGGCGCGAAAGCUAGGGGAGCAAACGGG
RNAcentral lists this ribosomal RNA (253 nucleotides) under uncultured bacterium. RNAcentral describes it as "partial 16S ribosomal RNA". It matches the Rfam family "Bacterial small subunit ribosomal RNA", at positions 524 to 776 of the family's 1533-position model. The record is from RNAcentral.